RNAcentral lists this transfer RNA (86 nucleotides) under bacterium. RNAcentral's name for it is "tRNA-Leu". It matches the Rfam family "tRNA". From Rfam's summary of the family: Transfer RNA (tRNA) molecules are approximately 80 nucleotides in length. Their secondary structure includes four short double-helical elements and three loops (D, anti-codon, and T loops). The record is from RNAcentral.
GCCGGGGUGGUGGAAUGGUAGACACAAGGGACUUAAAAUCCCUCGACCACAAGGUCGUGCGAGUUCGAAUCUCGCCCCCGGCACCA